Oncorhynchus masou masou (cherry salmon) is the source of this 552-nucleotide long non-coding RNA. RefSeq lists it as uncharacterized. Lineage: Eukaryota; Metazoa; Chordata; Actinopteri; Salmoniformes; Salmonidae. The transcript is spliced from 3 exons. The record is from RefSeq and is a predicted model, not a curated record.
CUUUGGAUAAGGCAAAGAAGACCUAAGACACAGAGGAAAAGAUAACCUAUCAAUACAAGUAAACUAGUGCCGUAUGGUCGUUGGCCGGUGGUGGGUGGUCCCCUGCAGGAAGGUGAGGUGCCGGAGGUCCCUCCACCCCCUCUGGACAUCAAGGGGUCUCCGGCGUACACUGUACAUGUGAUUCUGGACUCUAGACGCCAGGUAUGUUUUGAUGUGAGAGGAUGCCAACCCCCAGUCCCAUCAUCGCCACCUCACCCGCUCUUAAGAUAACCGUCGGGCCGACUGGGAGUCCAAGGCUGGUUAGGAGACACCACUAGAGACACUUAUGUAAUUGUGAUGAACUGAGAGAAUAUUAGAGUAGCACUGUGAUUCAUGAAUCACGUGCUGCCUUCCCUGCUCCUAUGUCCUUACUGUCACAUCUGCUCCUGCAACGCUACUCUGUCCUGGAUUCCCCACUUUACUACUCCCUUAGAUUCCCCUCCGAGGGAGAUUAUCAGUGGUCUUGUAUGUCUUCCAUUUCCUAAUAAUUGCUCCCACAGUUGAUUUCUUCAA